UUUCCGAGUUAGUGGCGGACCGGUGAGUAACGCGUGGAUAACCUGCCGUAUGCAGGGGGAUAACAGUUGGAAACAGCUGCUAAUACCGCAUAAGCGCACAGUACCGCAUGGUACGGUGUGAAAAGAUUUAUCGGCAUACGAUGGAUCCGCGUCCGAUUAGCCAGUUGGCGGGGUAACGGCCCACCAAAGCGACGAUCGGUAGCCGGCCUGAGAGGGCGGACGGCCACAUUGGGACUGAGACACGGCCCAAACUCCUACGGGAGGCAGCAGUGGGGAAUAUUGCACAAUGGGGGAAACCCUGAUGCAGCGACGCCGCGUGAGUGAAGAAGUAUCUCGGUAUGUAAAGCUCUAUCAGCAGGGAAGAAAAUGACGGUACCUGACUAAGAAGCCCCGGCUAACUACGUGCCAGCAGCCGCGGUAAUACGUAGGGGGCAAGCGUUAUCCGGAUUUACUGGGUGUAAAGGGAGCGUAGACGGCGCUGCAAGUCCGGAGUGAAAGCCCAUGGCUUAACCAUGGUACUGCUCUGGAAACUGUGGAGCUUGAGUGCGGGAGGGGCAGGCGGAAUUCCUAGUGUAGCGGUGAAAUGCGUAGAUAUUAGGAGGAACACCGGCGGCGAAGGCGGCCUGCUGGACCGUAACUGACGUUGAGGCUCGAAAGCGUGGGGAGCAAACAGGAUUA
This 678-nucleotide ribosomal RNA is filed under the name uncultured bacterium. RNAcentral's name for it is "bacterial SSU rRNA". It matches the Rfam family "Bacterial small subunit ribosomal RNA", at positions 84 to 780 of the family's 1533-position model. The record is from RNAcentral.